Molecule: ribosomal RNA, 788 nt
Filed under: uncultured archaeon
Lineage: Archaea
Description: bacterial SSU rRNA
Rfam family: Archaeal small subunit ribosomal RNA
Source: RNAcentral
AAUCAGUCUUCUGGGAAAUCUAAUCGCUUAACUAUUAGGCUUCCAGGGGAUACUGUUAGACUUGGGACCGGGAGAGGUAAGAGGUACUGCAGGGGUAGGAGUGAAAUCUUGUAAUCCCUGUGAGACCACCAGUGGCGAAGGCGUCUUACCAGAACGGGUCCGACGGUGAGGGACGAAAGCUGGGGGCACGAACCGGAUUAGAUACCCGGGUAGUCCCAGCUGUAAACGAUGCUCGUUAGGUGUCAGGAACGGUGCGACUGUUUCUGGUGCCGAAGGGAAGCCGUGAAACGAGCCACCUGGGAAGUACGGCCGCAAGGCUGAAACUUAAAGGAAUUGGCGGGGGAGCACUACAACGGGUGGAGCCUGCGGUUUAAUUGGACUCAACGCCGGAAAACUCACCGGGGGCGACAGCAAUAUGUAGGUCAGGUUAAAGGUCUUACCUGAAUCGCUGAGAGGAGGUGCAUGGCCGUCGUCAGUUCGUACUGUGAAGCAUCCUGUUAAGUCAGGCAACGAGCAAGACCCGUGCCCACUGUUACCAGCAUAUCCUUUAUGGAUGAUGGGGACUCUGUGGGGACCGCUGCUGCUAAAGCAGAGGAAGGUGCGGGCUACGGUAGGUCAGUAUGCCCCGAAUCUCCCGGGCUACACGCGGGCUACAAUGGUUGGGACAAUGGGUAUCUACUCCGAAAGGAGUUGGCAAUCUCUUAAACCCAAUCGUAGUUCGAAUUGAGGGCUGUAACUCGCCCUCAUGAAGCUGGAAUCCGUAGUAAUCGCGUUUCAACAUAGCGCGG